Molecule: ribosomal RNA, 227 nt
Filed under: uncultured Thermanaerothrix sp.
Lineage: Bacteria; Bacillati; Chloroflexota; Anaerolineae; Anaerolineales; Anaerolineaceae
Description: partial 16S ribosomal RNA
Rfam family: Bacterial small subunit ribosomal RNA
Source: RNAcentral
UAGGGAAUAUUGGGCAAUGGGCGAAAGCCUGACCCAGCGACGCCGCGUGCGCGAUGAAGGCCUUCGGGUUGUAAAGCGCUUUUGGAGGGGAUGAGGAAGGACAGUACCCUCCGAAUAAGCCUCGGCUAACUACGUGCCAGCAGCCGCGGUAAAACGUAGGAGGCGAGCGUUAUCCGGAUUUACUGGGCGUAAAGCGCGUGUAGGCGGUCUAGCAAGUUGGAUGUGAA